UGGGUGUGUCAGUGAGGGUGUAUUUGGAAGAGAUUAGCAUUUGAUUAAGUGGGCUGAGUAGAUCUGCCCUCACCAAUGUAGGGAGUCAUCAUCCCAUUGUUGAGAGCCCAAUAGGACAAAAAGGUGAAGGAAGGUUGAUUCACUCUCUCUUCUUGAGCUGGGACAUCUAUUUCCUCUGUACUCAGACAUCAGAGUUCCUGGGUUUUGGCCUUUGGACUUCAGGACUUACACCAGUCCUCCCCUCAGGCCUUUAGAGCUGGUCUGAGAGUUACACCCUUGGCUCCCCUGAUUCUCAGGCCUCGGACUGGAUUACACCACUGGCUUUCCUGGUUCUCUAGCUUGUAGAAAGCAGAUGGUGUAACUUCAUGGUCUCCAAAAUUACAUGAGCCAAUUUGCAUAAGAAAUCUCCUUAUAUAUAUCUUACAGGUUUUGAUUCUCCGGAAAGCCCUAACACAAGCUCUAUACCUAGAAAGUGCUAUUUUUACUGCCUGAGAACCAAAUCCACCCAAACCCAGUUAAAUAUUAUUCUUUCCAGGAAGUUCAGAAAUAGUUUUCUGCUGCACUAUAUUCAGAACUGGAGUAUGCAGAGGAUAGCCAGUCCCUUAGCAUUUUAGUGACACUGCUAGAGAGCAGCAUUUCUUUGAUAUAUGCAUUUGUUCUAUAUUUUCUACCCUCCGUAUCUUCAUCCGAGGUCUUUGGCAUCCCAGGAGAAACUAAGCUGGAAUUUAGCCAACUCAUGGAGCUGAGGAAGGCUACUACUCCUUGGAGAAUGAGGUUGGCCUAGUUGCAUUUGACAAGGUUGACUGCUAUGUGACCAAGGAGAACUUAAUAAAUCAUGGCAUUUGAAGAACGUCCUGAGUUCAAAGGUAUGUAUGAUCAGGUUAUCAUGAAGUAAGUAUGAAGUAAGUAAAUGCCAGUCCCUGAUCUUGUAGUUAAUAAUAAUAAUAAAAAAAAGGCAUGUAAGUGUGAAAGAAUGCAGUUCAGCACCUAGGCUUCACUGCAAAUAUUUAUAACCUUUAAAAUUUGGUACAAAUUACAGAGAGAACAAUAGAUGGCCCUGGAGUGAACACAAGGCUUUAUUUCACUGGAAAGAUUUGACUGAGGUCAUAAACUGCAAGAGGACAGGCAGCUCAAGUGGCUUAU
Molecule: long non-coding RNA, 1143 nt
Filed under: Macaca fascicularis (crab-eating macaque)
Lineage: Eukaryota; Metazoa; Chordata; Mammalia; Primates; Cercopithecidae
Description: lncRNA (ENSMFAG00000054253.1)
Source: RNAcentral